GCCGGCGUAGCUCAAUUGGAAGAGCAUCGCACUUGUAAUGCGAAGGUUGGGGGUUCGAUUCCCUCCGCCGGCU
This 73-nucleotide transfer RNA is filed under the name Actinomycetota bacterium. RNAcentral describes it as "tRNA-Thr". It matches the Rfam family "tRNA". Rfam says of the family: Transfer RNA (tRNA) molecules are approximately 80 nucleotides in length. Their secondary structure includes four short double-helical elements and three loops (D, anti-codon, and T loops). Lineage: Bacteria; Bacillati; Actinomycetota. The record is from RNAcentral.